AUGAGUUUGAUCAGCUGGGAAGAGUCUAGAAAGCCCGAAAUCAGCAACUUUGACACUGAAGUUGCUGUCAAGGAGAAUGUUGUUAGUUUUGACAUCGCGGUGUAUGAUGUCUGAAGCAUGGAGGUGAUCAGCUACGGUUCCAUUUUCCACGUACUCGUAUACAAGGAGGAGUUCCCUGCUGUGAUGGGAAGUGCAGCCGUGGAGUAACACAAGGCUAUUGUGUCUUAGACGACUUCCCUACAGGUAAAACAAUUCAUUUAUUAGUGUAAGGGCUACUCGGGCUCAUUUUACAGACAGACCGAAUAAGUUUUAAAUAACUUCCAAAGCCACCACUGCCAAGUUCAUUGGAUUGAUCAAAAUCUGCAGUGGCCUCAACAAGUUGAGUAUAGGAGAAGAGUGGCACGCCAAAGAAUUUGCUUCCGAAUUCGAGGUCUGAUGCAUCACUGUCAAGAGAGGCACUCCGAGUUCUGAACUUCAUAUGAUCAGACAUCUUCUUAUUCCGAUGCCAAAUGGCUAUGCAUAUUACUACAAGAACAAGUAAACUUCCUCCCAUGCCUGAUCAUUGGUUAAAUUAAUAUCAAGAUACAGAGUACAGCUUAAGAAUAUAUGGAAUUGGCUAAUUCAGUCAUUUAGGGAACGUUUAAUUUACCUAUGAUAAUUUGAUUCGUUUUCGUUUGAUGAUUAGCUGUACCAAUUUCCUUCUUCUCUGCAAAUAAGUAAAUGUAAUGUCAAUAUGGCAACAUAGAUCGAGCUAUGUAUUACGGAGUAGUAAUGAAUAUGAACUUGUUAAGAAAACGCGCUAGGUAAGUGCUGGUAUAACCUCAUAUCAGUCAUUAAUAACCUGGCUGGGUUACUACAGAUGCAUGCUAAAAACAGGCAAUUAGGCAAACAUAUAAUGUAUUGAUUUCUGCUGCUUGAGUUGCAGCAAUUACACAACUUAAGUACAUAACAGUGAUAUUCUUGUUGCUGUCA
Chenopodium quinoa (quinoa) is the source of this 972-nucleotide long non-coding RNA. RefSeq lists it as uncharacterized. NCBI's taxonomy places the organism in Eukaryota, Viridiplantae, Streptophyta, Magnoliopsida, Caryophyllales, Amaranthaceae. The transcript is spliced from 4 exons. The record is from RefSeq and is a predicted model, not a curated record.